GGUUAAGCGACUAAGCGUACACGGUGGAUGCCCUGGCAGUCAGAGGCGAUGAAGGACGUGCUAAUCUGCGAUAAGCGUCGGUAAGGUGAUAUGAACCGUUAUAACCGGCGAUUUCCGAAUGGGGAAACCCAGUGUGAUUCGUCACACUAUCAUUAACUGAAUCCAUAGGUUAAUGAGGCGAACCGGGGGAACUGAAACAUCUAAGUACCCCGAGGAAAAGAAAUCAACCGAGAUUCCCCCAGUAGCGGCGAGCGAACGGGGAGGAGCCCAGAGCCUGAAUCAGUGUGUGUGUUAGUGGAAGCGUCUGGAAAGGCGCGCGAUACAGGGUGACAGCCCCGUACACAAAAAUGCACAUGCUGUGAGCUCGAUGAGUAGGGCGGGACACGUGGUAUCCUGUCUGAAUAUGGGGGGACCAUCCUCCAAGGCUAAAUACUCCUGACUGACCGAUAGUGAACCAGUACCGUGAGGGAAAGGCGAAAAGAACCCCGGCGAGGGGAGUGAAAAAGAACCUGAAACCGUGUACGUACAAGCAGUGGGAGCCUCUUUAUGGGGUGACUGCGUACCUUUUGUAUAAUGGGUCAGCGACUUAUAUUCUGUAGCAAGGUUAACCGAAUAGGGGAGCCGAAGGGAAACCGAGUCUUAACUGGGCGUUAAGUUGCAGGGUAUAGACCCGAAACCCGGUGAUCUAGCCAUGGGCAGGUUGAAGGUUGGGUAACACUAACUGGAGGACCGAACCGACUAAUGUUGAAAAAUUAGCGGAUGACUUGUGGCUGGGGGUGAAAGGCCAAUCAAACCGGGAGAUAGCUGGUUCUCCCCGAAAGCUAUUUAGGUAGCGCCUCGUGAA
RNAcentral lists this ribosomal RNA (844 nucleotides) under Escherichia coli. RNAcentral describes it as "partial 23S ribosomal RNA". It matches the Rfam family "Bacterial large subunit ribosomal RNA", at positions 1 to 888 of the family's 2925-position model. Lineage: Bacteria; Pseudomonadati; Pseudomonadota; Gammaproteobacteria; Enterobacterales; Enterobacteriaceae. The record is from RNAcentral.